Molecule: non-coding RNA, 80 nt
Organism: Larimichthys crocea (large yellow croaker)
Lineage: Eukaryota; Metazoa; Chordata; Actinopteri; Sciaenidae
Source: Rfam
GUUUACAGCGAGUUUUGUUGGUUUGCUCUCAGCUUCUGCCAGUCUCUGCUGUGCAAAUCCAUGCAAAGCUCUCUGUUUCU